Molecule: ribosomal RNA, 549 nt
Filed under: uncultured Glomeromycotina
Lineage: Eukaryota; Fungi; Glomeromycota
Description: SSU rRNA
Rfam family: Eukaryotic small subunit ribosomal RNA
Source: RNAcentral
UUGGAGGGCAAGUCUGGUGCCAGCAGCCGCGGUAAUUCCAGCUCCAAUAGCGUAUAUUAAAGUUGUUGCAGUUAAGAAGCUCGUAGUUGAAUUUCGGGGUCAGUAGGUCGGUCGUGCCACUGGUAUGAACUGGUUUUACUGAUUCCUCCCUCUUGAAGAACUGUAAUGCCAUUAAUUUGGUGUUGCAGGGAAUCAGGACUGUUACUUUGAAAAAAUUAGAGUGUUUAAAGCAGGCUUUAGCUUGAAUACAUUAGCAUGGAAUAAUGAAAUAGGACGUUUGAUCCUAUUUUGUUGGUUUCUAGGAUUGACGUAAUGAUUAAUAGGGAUAGUUGGGGGCAUUAGUAUUCAAUUGUCAGAGGUGAAAUUCUUGGAUUUAUUGAAGACUAACUACUGCGAAAGCAUUUGCCAAGGAUGUUUUCAUUAAUCAAGAACGAAAGUUAGGGGAUCGAAGACGAUCAGAUACCGUCGUAGUCUUAACCAUAAACUAUGCCGACUAGGGAUCGGAUGAUGUUAAUUUUUUAAUGACUCAUUCGGCGCCUUACGGGAAAC